This 465-nucleotide ribosomal RNA is filed under the name uncultured Lysobacteraceae bacterium. Its description in RNAcentral is "bacterial SSU rRNA". It matches the Rfam family "Bacterial small subunit ribosomal RNA", at positions 338 to 795 of the family's 1533-position model. Lineage: Bacteria; Pseudomonadati; Pseudomonadota; Gammaproteobacteria; Lysobacterales; Lysobacteraceae. The record is from RNAcentral.
CCUACGGGCGGCAGCAGUGGGGAAUAUUGGACAAUGGGCGCAAGCCUGAUCCAGCAAUGCCGCGUGUGUGAAGAAGGCCUUCGGGUUGUAAAGCACUUUUAUCAGGAACGAAAAGCGUUGGAUUAAUACUCUGACGUGCUGACGGUACCUGAGGAAUAAGCACCGGCUAACUUCGUGCCAGCAGCCGCGGUAAUACGAAGGGUGCAAGCGUUAAUCGGAAUUACUGGGCGUAAAGCGUGCGUAGAUGGUUCGCUAAGUCGGAUGUGAAAGCCCCGGGCUCAACCUGGGAACUGCAUCCGAUACUGGCGGACUAGAGUGUGAUAGAGGAUGGCGGAAUUCCCGGUGUAGCGGUGAAAUGCGUAGAGAUCGGGAGGAACAUCCGUGGCGAAGGCGGCCAUCUGGAUCAACACUGACGUUGAGGCACGAAAGCGUGGGGAGCAAACAGGAUUAGAUACCCCAGUAGUC